This is a long non-coding RNA of Alosa sapidissima (American shad), 91 nucleotides long. RefSeq lists it as uncharacterized. The transcript has 4 exons. NCBI's taxonomy places the organism in Eukaryota, Metazoa, Chordata, Actinopteri, Clupeiformes, Clupeidae. The record is from RefSeq and is a predicted model, not a curated record.
CAAACACAAAAGGAUAGAAAACAAGAAAAAAAAAAAAACAAUGUACUUUUGCGGGAUCUCGCAAAACUUUUUUUCUACUUUUGGAACUUGC